GCUGACGAGUGGCGGACGGGUGAGUAAUGUCUGGGAAACUGCCUGAUGGAGGGGGAUAACUACUGGAAACGGUAGCUAAUACCGCAUAAUGUCGCAAGACCAAAGAGGGGGACCUUCGGGCCUCUUGCCAUCGGAUGUGCCCAGAUGGGAUUAGCUUGUUGGUGGGGUAACGGCUCACCAAGGCGACGAUCCCUAGCUGGUCUGAGAGGAUGACCAGCCACACUGGAACUGAGACACGGUCCAGACUCCUACGGGAGGCAGCAGUGGGGAAUAUUGCACAAUGGGCGCAAGCCUGAUGCAGCCAUGCCGCGUGUAUGAAGAAGGCCUUCGGGUUGUAAAGUACUUUCAGCGGGGAGGAAGGGAGUAAAGUUAAUACCUUU
RNAcentral lists this ribosomal RNA (380 nucleotides) under Escherichia coli. RNAcentral's name for it is "bacterial SSU rRNA". It matches the Rfam family "Bacterial small subunit ribosomal RNA", at positions 87 to 470 of the family's 1533-position model. Lineage: Bacteria; Pseudomonadati; Pseudomonadota; Gammaproteobacteria; Enterobacterales; Enterobacteriaceae. The record is from RNAcentral.